RNAcentral lists this ribosomal RNA (839 nucleotides) under Rhodotorula glutinis. RNAcentral's name for it is "partial large subunit ribosomal RNA". It matches the Rfam family "Eukaryotic large subunit ribosomal RNA", at positions 51 to 906 of the family's 3401-position model. Lineage: Eukaryota; Fungi; Basidiomycota; Microbotryomycetes; Sporidiobolales; Sporidiobolaceae. The record is from RNAcentral.
CGGAGGAAAAGAAACUAACAAGGAUUCCCCUAGUAGCGGCGAGCGAAGCGGGAAGAGCUCAAAUUUAUAAUCUGGCACUUUCAGUGUCCGAGUUGUAAUCUCUAGAAGUGUUUUCCGCGUUGGACCGCACACAAGUCUGUUGGAAUACAGCGGCACAGUGGUGACACCCCCGUACACGGUGCGGACGCCCAGCGCUUUGUGAUACACUUUCGAAGAGUCGAGUUGUUUGGGAAUGCAGCUCAAAUUGGGUGGUAAAUUCCAUCUAAAGCUAAAUAUUGGCGAGAGACCGAUAGCGAACAAGUACCGUGAGGGAAAGAUGAAAAGCACUUUGGAAAGAGAGUUAACAGUACGUGAAAUUGUUGGAAGGGAAACGCUUGAAGUCAGACUUGCUUGCCGGAGCUUGCUUCGGUUUGCAGGCCAGCAUCAGUUUUCCGGGGUGGAUAAUGGCGGUUAGAAGGUAGCAGCUUCAGCUGUGUUAUAGCUUUCCGCUGGAUACAUCCUGGGGGACUGAGGAACGCAGCGUGCUUUUAGCGGGGGUUUCGACCUCUUCACGCUUAGGAUGCUGGUGUAAUGGCUUUAAACGACCCGUCUUGAAACACGGACCAAGGAGUCUAACAUGCUUGCGAGUAUUUGGGUGUCAAACCCGGAUGCGUAAUGAAAGUGAAUGUAGGUGGGAACCGCAAGGUGCACCAUCGACCGAUCUGGAUUUUCUAAGAUGGAUUUGAGUAAGAGCACGUAUGUUGGGACCCGAAAGAUGGUGAACUAUGCCUGAAUAGGGCGAAGCCAGAGGAAACUCUGGUGGAGGCUCGUAGCGGUUUCUGACGUGCAAAUCGAUCGUC